UCAAUUUGUGUCCGCUUCCUCUUCUCUGAGCUUUUCCCUCUCUCCCAUUUCUCCAAUCUCCGCAUCUUUUCGCUGGAUUUAGAAUCGAUGUGAACUUUGUAGUGAUUGGAAUCUCUUAGAUGAACUGCAUUUCGUGCGCGUCUUCUGCAGCUCUCUUUUCGAAUAGCGGGCAUGGACUUAUGAGGAGAGCUUUAUAUGGGAUUUCUAUGAUCUCAUGGAGGAGAAGAGAUAUAUGGCACGCCGGCAUUGAAGCGCUCAAUUUAGGUCUCAUCCCGUCGGCAGUUCGUGUCCGGUGCUUCUCUUCUAAGCGCGUGCGUGCUUCGAAGUCGCCGAAGGCGGCGAAUGAGAAAGCGGCUAUGGCUGAAGAGGGUGAUGCUUUUUAUGUUGUCCGGAAAGGAGAUGUUGUCGCCGUCUAUAAAAAUUUAACCGAUUGUCAAGCUCAAGUUAGCUCCUCGGUGUGUGAUCCUUCCGUCAGUGUGUACAAAGGUUAUUCUUUGCGUAAAGAAACGGAAGAUUAUCUUGCUGCUCGUGGGCUUAAAAACCCUCUCUACGCCAUUAAUGCAGCCGAUGUGAAUGAGGAUCUGUUUGGGAACCUAGUCCCAUGUCCUUUUCAGCAACCAGAUGGACUUGCAUUUUUGGUUGCUCAAACUGGCGAAAAGACUUCUACUUUGAAAAGGGCGCAGCACAUGGUGAGUAUGGAAUCUUCUUCUGCCCUGAUUGAACCGGCAAAGAAACAUCUCAAGCUUGGGUAUUCAGUUGAGCAGAAAACAAUAUUUCGUAAUGACGUGUCUUGUGUUCUUGAAUUUGAUGGUGCUUCAAAAGGAAAUCCUGGAAAAUCUGGCGCUGGAGUUAUUCUUCGAGCUGAAGAUGGAAGUGUGAUUUGUAGAGUCCGCGAAGGUUUGGGUGCUGUAACAAAUAAUGUUGCCGAAUAUCGAGCAUUGAUUUUAGGAAUGAAGUAUGCUCUAAAGAAAGGGUUUCAGAAAAUACGUGUGCAAGGUGACUCUAAGCUUGUUUGUAAUCAGACAGGUUCAAGAUCUCUGGCGGGCCAGGCACGAGAACAUGGCUGGCUUGUGCAAGGAGGCGAAGGAGCUCAAGGAUAUGUUUCUGUCAUUUGAGAUCAGACAUGUUAAGAGGGAGUUUAAUGCGGAUGCCGAUGCUCAGGCGAACCUAGCCGUCGAUCUCCCGACCGGAGAAAUUCACGAGGAAUCCGGUCUGCGCUUCUCUGAUUCUGGUGCUUAAAAGGAGCUCUCGCCGAGUUUUACUACGAGAGAAAUAAUAGAAAGGGAUUGCUACGAAAGGAAGCAAUCGAUCGCUUCGACUCCAAACUUUUUCUUGUCUUUUUGCCUGAUAAUUUUACAACAAUUGAUUGCACCAUUUUUGUACCAAAUUUUUUGGAGGAGGUUGCUAGAUCAUUGAGAAGCUUGAUGAGUUAAUAGGUUGGCAAAGGGUGUUCACUUAUUAAUUGAUUACUCUUUGUUGUACUAAUUUUUUACAAUUUUGAACAUAGGCCUUGAAGAUGUAUGAACUGUGAUGCUGUACUUAAAAUAGUGCAACAAUACAUCUUUUACAAGUUGUUUCCCCUUUUUUUGA
This is an RNA transcript of Ananas comosus (pineapple), 1590 nucleotides long. RefSeq lists it as uncharacterized. Lineage: Eukaryota; Viridiplantae; Streptophyta; Magnoliopsida; Poales; Bromeliaceae. The record is from RefSeq and is a predicted model, not a curated record. The transcript has 10 exons.